UACGGAGGAUCCAAGCGUUAUCCGGAUUCAUUGGGUUUAAAGGGUGCGUAGGCGGAAUGAUAAGUCAGUGGUGAAAGCCCUUAGCUCAACUAAGGAACUGCCAUUGAUACUGUCAAUCUUGAGUACAUUUGAUGUGGGCGGAAUGUGUCAUGUAGCGGUGAAAUGCUUAGAUAUGACACAGAACACCGAUUGCGAAGGCAGCUCACAAAACUGUAACUGACGCUGAGGCACGAAAGCGUGGGUAUCAAACAGGAUUAGAUACCCUGGUAGUCCACGCUGUAAACUAUGAUUACUCGAUGUUUGCGAUAUACUGUAAGCGUCUAAGCGAAAGCGAUAAGUAAUCCACCUGGGGAGUACGCUCGCAAGAGUG
Molecule: ribosomal RNA, 370 nt
Filed under: uncultured prokaryote
Description: bacterial SSU rRNA
Rfam family: Bacterial small subunit ribosomal RNA
Source: RNAcentral